This 400-nucleotide unclassified non-coding RNA is filed under the name uncultured fungus. RNAcentral describes it as "sequence contains ITS1". The stretch from base 1 to 106 matches the Rfam family "5.8S ribosomal RNA", at positions 50 to 154 of the family's 154-position model. Lineage: Eukaryota; Fungi. The record is from RNAcentral.
AAAAUGCGAUACGUAAUGCGAAUUGCAGAAUUCAGUGAAUCAUCAAAUCUUUGAACGCAAAUUGCGCUCUCGGGAUAGGCCUGGGAGCACGCCUCUUUGAGUAUCGUUUCAACCACAACUCGAAAGCGUGCUUUUGAAGCAUCGCUGACGGAAAUUGAGCGCUCUCGUUUUUCGAGACGCUUUAAAUGAAGCGAGUGGCAUGAUUUCCGACUUGAAAUCACAAUGUCUCAAGUGACGAGGAUAACUUCACAUUCAAUUGUGAACCCUUCCAUCGUGACUUCAGAGGCGUUUGUGUUUCGCUUCGGUGGUCGCAAUUGUCGCGGACCUCUGCGAUCCGUCUCCAAUGGCGAGCGCAGAACUCCUUUUGAACUAGAUCUCAAAUGAAGCGAGAAAACCCGCU